RNAcentral lists this unclassified non-coding RNA (323 nucleotides) under Hevea brasiliensis (rubber tree). The record is from RNAcentral. Lineage: Eukaryota; Viridiplantae; Streptophyta; Magnoliopsida; Malpighiales; Euphorbiaceae.
CGGCCACUUCUGCUCCGGUUCGCCCCUCUCCUUCUACGACACUCGCGGCGCCGUCAUCCUCCCCACCCUUAGCCAAUUCGCCGCCCGCUGCGCCGAUCCCGGCGGCCCCCGCCUCCUCGGAUGGAUAUCCGGCCGUCGCCGCACAGGCCUCCGCCCCUCCAUGCGCGAACGCGCCGUCUCCCUCUCCCUCGUCAAAACCCUAGCCAAAAGCCCCCCCGCCAUCCCCUGCAUCUUCCUCCUCCUUACCUCUUCCGUCACCGAAGAUCACAUCCAUACACAUGAGUACCGCGUCUUCGUCACAAUCUCCCGUGGCCGGAAGCUCG